Long non-coding RNA from Haliotis rubra (blacklip abalone), 168 nucleotides. RefSeq lists it as uncharacterized. NCBI's taxonomy places the organism in Eukaryota, Metazoa, Mollusca, Gastropoda, Lepetellida, Haliotidae. The record is from RefSeq and is a predicted model, not a curated record. The transcript has 2 exons.
AAGAGGAGUGUCUGUUGCUAGCGGAGCUAGUUGCGGCCAACAGAGUGGUGCUUGAGGGCAAGUUUGGGCCUGGCAUCACCUCCGUGAAACGACAGGAGGCGUGGCAGAUGAUUACAGACACCCUCAAUUCAAGCAUCACCCACAAGAGGACCAGGGAUGAGGUGGAAA